GACGAACGCUGGCGGCGUGCUUAACACAUGCAAGUCGAACGGAAAGGCCCUGCUUUUGUGGGGUGCUCUAGUGGCGAACGGGUGAGUAACACGUGAGUAACCUGCCCUUGACUUUGGGAUAACUUCAGGAAACUGGGGCUAAUACCGGAUAGGAGCUCCUGCUGCAUGGUGGGGGUUGGAAAGUUUCGGCGGUUGGGGAUGGACUCGCGCCUUAUCAGCUUGUUGGUGGGGUAGUGGCUUACCAAGGCUUUGACGGGUAGCAGGCCUGGGAGGGUGACCGGCGACAUUGGGACUGAGAUACGGCCCAGACUCGUACGGGAGGCAGCAGUGGGGAAUAUUGCACAAUGGGCGGAAGCCUGAUGCAGCAACGCAGCGUGGGGGAUGACGGCAUGCGGGUUGUAAACUGCUUUCGCCUGUGACGAAGCGUGAGUGACGGUAAUGGGUAAAGAAGCACCGGCUAACUACGUG
Molecule: ribosomal RNA, 468 nt
Filed under: uncultured bacterium
Lineage: Bacteria
Description: partial 16S ribosomal RNA
Rfam family: Bacterial small subunit ribosomal RNA
Source: RNAcentral